UCCCUCCUGACUCAGCCAGUAAGGAGUCUGCCUGCAAUGCAGGACACCCAGGUUCAAUCCCUGGGUUGGGAA
Non-coding RNA from Ovis aries (sheep), 72 nucleotides. Lineage: Eukaryota; Metazoa; Chordata; Mammalia; Artiodactyla; Bovidae. The record is from Rfam.